UGCUCAGAUUGAACGCUGGCGGCAGGCUUAACACAUGCAAGUCGAGCGGAAACGAUGGGAGCUUGCUCCCAGGCGUCGAGCGGCGGACGGGUGAGUAACACUUAGGAAUCUACCUAGUAGUGGGGGAUAGCUCGGGGAAACUCGAAUUAAUACCGCAUACGUCCUACGGGAGAAAGGGGGCAACUUGUUGCUCUCGCUAUUAGAUGAGCCUAAGUCGGAUUAGCUAGAUGGUGGGGUAAAGGCCUACCAUGGCGACGAUCUGUAGCUGGUCUGAGAGGAUGAUCAGCCACACCGGGACUGAGACACGGCCCGGACUCCUACGGGAGGCAGCAGUGGGGAAUAUUGGACAAUGGGGGCAACCCUGAUCCAGCCAUGCCGCGUGUGUGAAGAAGGCCUUUUGGUUGUAAAGCACUUUAAGCAGUGAAGAAGACCUAACGGUUAAUACCCGUUAGCGAUGACAUUAGCUGCAGAAUAAGCACCGGCUAACUCUGUGCCAGCAGCCGCGGUAAUACAGAGGGUGCAAGCGUUAAUCGGAAUUACUGGGCGUAAAGCGAGCGUAGGUGGCUUGAUAAGUCAGAUGUGAAAUCCCCGGGCUUAACCUGGGAACUGCAUCUGAUACUGUUAAGCUAGAGUAGGUGAGAGGGAAGUAGAAUUCCAGGUGUAGCGGUGAAAUGCGUAGAGAUCUGGAGGAAUACCGAUGGCGAAGGCAGCUUCCUGGCAUCAUACUGACACUGAGGCUCGAAAAGACGG
Molecule: ribosomal RNA, 750 nt
Filed under: uncultured Psychrobacter sp.
Lineage: Bacteria; Pseudomonadati; Pseudomonadota; Gammaproteobacteria; Moraxellales; Moraxellaceae
Description: bacterial SSU rRNA
Rfam family: Bacterial small subunit ribosomal RNA
Source: RNAcentral